Molecule: ribosomal RNA, 497 nt
Filed under: uncultured bacterium
Lineage: Bacteria
Description: partial 16S ribosomal RNA
Rfam family: Bacterial small subunit ribosomal RNA
Source: RNAcentral
GACGAACGCUGGCGGCGUGCCUAAUACAUGCAAGUUGAGCGCUGAAGGUUGGUACUUGUACCAACUGGAUGAGCAGCGAACGGGUGAGUAACGCGUGGGGAAUCUGCCUUUGAGCGGGGGACAACAUUUGGAAACGAAUGCUAAUACCGCAUAAAAACUUUAAACACAAGUUUUAAGUUUGAAAGAUGCAAUUGCAUCACUCAAAGAUGAUCCCGCGUUGUAUUAGCUAGUUGGUGAGGUAAAGGCUCACCAAGGCGAUGAUACAUAGCCGACCUGAGAGGGUGGUCGGCCACAUUGGGACUGAGAAACGGCCCAAACGCCUACGGGAGGCAGCAGUAGGGAAACUUCGGCAAUGGACGAAAGUCUGACCGAGCAACGCCGCGUGAGUGAAGAAGGUUGUCGGAUCGUAAAACUCUGUUGGUAGAGAAGAACGUUGGUGAGAGUGGAAAGCGCAUCAAGUGACGGUAACUACCCAGAAAGGGACGGCUAACUACGUG